This 73-nucleotide transfer RNA is filed under the name Eurytemora carolleeae. RNAcentral describes it as "transfer RNA arginine (anticodon UCG)". It matches the Rfam family "tRNA". Rfam says of the family: Transfer RNA (tRNA) molecules are approximately 80 nucleotides in length. Their secondary structure includes four short double-helical elements and three loops (D, anti-codon, and T loops). The record is from RNAcentral. Lineage: Eukaryota; Metazoa; Arthropoda; Copepoda; Calanoida; Temoridae.
GGGUGUGUGGCCUAAUGGAUAAGGCACCAGACUUCGGAUCUGGGGAUUGCAGGUUCGAGUCCUGUCACGCUCG